UCCACCGGUAGAAACCAGCCGGCCGCUGGGGCAGGGCGGCGAAAGGUCAGUCGGCCGAGAGGAGUCCGUGGAGCAACCGUUUCAUAGCCUCAGGGAAAGGACCGGGCGUGCUCACAAGCCCCCUAACCCAUGGCUUAAACACCCACUUCCUAAGCCUGGGUGACAUGAGACUCCUUAUGUAUCAGCAUAUCAUUAUCACUUAUGUUCUUCCACGGUUCCUGAAUAUCACAUGUGGUGAUAAACACGAAGAUGUAUGAAAAAUUGUGUUCGUUGAGAGAAAAUGGGAGGCUUUUCAUUCUACUUCCACAUUUUCAUUCCAGCAGCUUUUCUCUUUUGGAAGGUUCUUAUGCCUUUGUUUGAAAAACAUGGUUCCCUGUGAAAUUUUACAUGUAGAAGAAAGCUUCACACUACAAGAGCUCUCAGGAUAUAAUUAUUUCAGACAGAUACUGGGAACAUACGAUGGCUUAUCAAUCUAAGAUGGCCUUCCUGUCCUUCGGAUUGAACUGAAACCAUCCCUGAUUGCAGGGAUAGGUAGAUGAUCCAGGCUUGGACAAUCAAAAUAUUGAACCACCCUGGACCUACAAGUGUUUCUGGGAUGGAAACAUGCAAACGUUGGCCUAAAUUGUUGUGCUAGGCAGCCCAGUACAUUUCUCCAAUGCCUGCCUCUCAAGCACUGUGAAAAAUCACUUUCUCUGGUUGUAUUCUUGGAGCCCCUGCUAAUUCAUUAUUGAAAAAUACCUGCUGCCUGCAUUUGGCCUUGUGUUGUCAUUUACUUGGUACUUCCUAAGGGUGGCUACUCCAAUGAAGCUUUAAUAUAUGUACUGAAAGAAGAUCCUCUCAUACUGCCACAGCCAACAGAUAAGGUUGUAAAUCUUUAUUUGGGAGAAGCCGUCAAGGACAGUUCUGUGAAAUGAAAGGAUCUCUGGAUCACCACAAAGUCUGGCUCAGUAACUAUGGCUUUGCAAACACUAAACAUUCCUAUCCCAAGUCCUGUAGAUGGCUUGAAAUAGCAUACAUAAGCAUGCCUUAUAAACAUCUUCAGUCUUUAUCAACUCUUUGGAGAUUCAGCCAUUCUUUUUUGUACUUUAGGGAAUUAAAUCAUUUUAUAAUGUGGUAUAAAUCUGAGCAUGGCAGAUGGCAGAAGAAAUUUUGUCAUAUGUUUUUAAAGAAAUAAAAAUGUAUUAUGUUUUAAAA
Molecule: long non-coding RNA, 1194 nt
Organism: Nomascus leucogenys (northern white-cheeked gibbon)
Lineage: Eukaryota; Metazoa; Chordata; Mammalia; Primates; Hylobatidae
Exons: 5
Source: RefSeq, a predicted model, not a curated record